Molecule: long non-coding RNA, 446 nt
Filed under: Zonotrichia albicollis (white-throated sparrow)
Lineage: Eukaryota; Metazoa; Chordata; Aves; Passeriformes; Passerellidae
Description: lncRNA (ENSZALG00000001203.1)
Source: RNAcentral
GGUAAAUCAGAGCAAGUCUGAUUAAAUGGAUCUGUAGCACCAUGUCCUCUUUUCUUAAGCAAGCCAAGCUCCCAAAAUGUAAAUACAUUAAAUGUCACUCUCAUUAAAUACACAUCAUGGAACUGCUGAGGAAGAUUAAGGAAGUGCAGUAAUCUUCAUCUUACUCUGAAUAACUGCUAAUGGUCAAUGUGACCUGGACUCAAAUUUUUAUUGAAGAAGGAAUUCAGUUCUUCAGAAGAAAAAAAUGCUCUCCAUCUUCAUAGCAAAGUGAUAAGGAAUCAGAAAGAACAAUGCUGAAAUACAUAUGAUAAGAGGUCAUCCUGGAAAAGUGAGAAAGAGUGUGCAAAAAAUAACUACACCCAGAUGAAUGCAUAAAGCAUAGAAGAAGCACAAAGAAUAUAUUAGUAUAUGGAUUCUGCCUUUUUUAAAAGGAAAUAAAAUCUCAG